AAAAGCGAACAAGAUUUUACCUUUUAAGAAAUAAUUACAAGUUGAAUAAAAUUGUACUUAUAAUGCAAGGCAACUUUAUGUUUAGGACUUUUAAAAAUACAAUUAUAAAAAUGAGCAGCAUGGUGCACAAAGCAACCCGCGUUAAUAGGGUCUAGGCUAGGAUUGCAUUCCAAGGAGUGUGAUAUUAACAACCUACCCUAGUGUAGGCAUUAGUAAUUGUUUCCACUAAUUUUGACAAGUCUUUCUUAGUUUGGUGGCAUAACAAUUCCUUAACGACUAGUUACAAAUAAAUUAACACAUUUGUGAGGUGAUAUCAGUUCAUUGAUGUCAAUUUAUUAAUGCCAAAAUAAGCCAAUAAUGAAUUACAAUACGAUUUUGUAGUGGUAAAUUGCUUAAAAGAAUAACUAUACUAUAUCUUAAUCUACUAUACAAUUUUGUAUGACAAUGCGUCUUCGUAAUGCUAAUAUUUAUUUAAUCUGUUAAUAAUAUAGUAAUACAAAUUGUAAUGAUUAACAUGAAAUACACAUAACGCAUGCAUUUAAGUGCUUAUGUAAACCGUUCAUCAAAUGCUAUUUCUAAGAUGUUUUUGUUGAAGCAAGUAUAAGAACAUACCGAAAGAAGUUUCACUAAAGCAAAUCUAACUUUUAAAAAUGAUAAUAUAUCCGUUUGAAAUUUAUGAUUCUCUUUUUUAGUUAUUAUAUUGUACACAAAUACAUCUUGUAAAUGUUAGGUAUUUUAUUUUUAAAAUUUUAUUCUUAUUAAUAUAUGAGGGAAGCACGUGAUGCACAUACAUUAAUACUAGUUUGAAAAAAAAGUAAAACAUCAAAAAAGUUAGUUAAUUGAUUCCAAAUUUGCAAUAUUGCAUCCUCAAAAUAUGCAACUAACACAUGACUUCUAUUUUAUUUCAGAGGAACAAAUGUGACUAGAUCAGGAUCUGUUCAAGACCUUUUCAGCGGUUAAUAGCCAAUGUAUCGCUUUUGAUCGGUUUGUUGGUUGGGGGCAUUGAUAAAGUAGGGAUAAUCCAUUAGGGUUUAAGGAGAGAAUUUGAAGAGGUAAAAGGAAGAAAGACAGAAUGAAUGAGGGGAAGUGUGUUCCUCGGAUAUAAUAAAAUAGAAGUCAUGUGUUGUUUGUAGUUUGGUUGUUCUCGAAAAAAAUAUCUGCAAACAACACAUUACUUUUAGUUAUUUUAGUGGAACACAUGUUUGUAAUUUUUUUUCUCAAAAAGAAAAAAAUGCUAACAUGUGACUUCUAUUUUAUUAUAGAGGAACAUACUUCUUCUUACUCAUUUUGCCUUUCUUCCUUUUUCCCUUCAUAUCUCUCCUAAAACCCUAAUGGUUUAUCCCUACUUCAUCAAUGACCCCCUAACAAGCCGAUACAUUGGCUAUUAACCUCCAAAAAACUCUUAAAAAAUCGUGAUCUAAUGACAUUUGUUCUUUGGAGAUAAAAUAAAGUCAUGUGUUAUUUGCAGAUUUUAAGGAUGCAAUAUUGCACAUUUGGAAUCAAUUCAUUAACCUUUUUCAGUUUUCUUCUUCUUUUUAACUAGUCUAAAUAUAUGCACGAUCCCCUCGUAAUUAAUAAGAGUAGACUUUUAAAAAUAAAUAAUAUUUAACAGAUGUUUUGUGUACAAUAUAAGAAUUUAAAAAGAGAAUUAUAAAUUUCUAAUUAAUAAGUGAUUAUAUUUAAGAGUUCGAUCUGGUUUAGUGGUUCUUCUUUCAGUAUGUUCUAAUACUUGCUUCAACAAAUGUAUCAUACAAAUAACAUUUGAUUGUGUAAAUAUGGAUCUUAGGCUUAACUCAACCCCUAAAGCUAGCUAGCUCACGAGGAGAGGUUUGUCCAAAUCCAUAAAAGGAUACCAAAUUUCCAUUCCUUUAAUGAUGUAUGAAUUCUUAACACUUUCCUGCACGCCCAAACCUCGUUAUAUGGAGUGUGGACACUAUAAUAUGGAGGCCCAACAUUGGUGAACAAAGAAUUGGAAUGUGCUUGGCUCUGAUACCAUGUAAAGAUGGAUCUUGGGCCUAACUCAACCCAAAAACUAGCUAAUGAAUGGAAGUUUGUCCAAGUCAUAUGAGAAUACCAAAUUCCCAUCCCUUUUUCGAUGUGGAAUUUCUUAACAGAUUGAAAGGUAGAAAAGUCUUUCACUUUUACAUAAACACAUACAUGCAUUAUAUUUGUAUUUUUCGUUAAUUAUUACGAAAUUUGUAUCACUAUUAUUAACAAUUAAAAUUUCCAACUCCAACUUGGAGUUUUUUUUUUUGGGAGAUAAAGGUAACUGUGUAUUCAGAAAAGGCUCAUCAUCAAAGAAAUGAUGAGCAUAGGUCACUUACAAAUCUCGCCAGAGCAUAUCAAACUACCCUAUGGGAGAUUACAACUCACCUAUAAAGUCAGCAAAAAGUUUUAUAUCCCCCAUCAUAUCUUGUUUACACCAAAAGUACAAAAGACUAAGACAGUUCAUUCUAAUUUUCUGGAUGUUGUUUUUCUUAUCCACAAAGCAUCUUCCAUUCCUUUCUUUCCAUAGGGACCACCAGAUGCAGGCUGAGAUUAAUUCCCACCAAUUUCAUUAGACUCCCUUCUUCUUAUCAUCUUCCAGCUGUAGAGCAAGUCCUUAAUGGACUUUGGAAUUACCCAACAUACACCAAGAAGACCAAGAAACAUGUUCCACAAGCUUGUAGCUACUUUGCAAUGAAGGAAUAAAUGACUAUUAACUUCUGCAUCUUCAUCACACACAAAGCAUCUUGAGCAUAAUUGUCUGCCUUUCUUUUGAAGCACUUCAUGUGUUAAGCAGGCCCUUUUGCACACUAACCAAGCAAAACAUGAGUCUUCAAUGGUAUUUUUUUCUUCCAUGUUAACUUCCAUGGCCAGUUCCUGACCUGUGUUUGGCCAAUAUUGUAUCUGCAGUACCAUGACUUUACUGUAAACACACCUUUGCUUUGCCAUCUCCAAAUAGGCUUAUCAGAUUCAGUAAAGGUGCCUGGGAAGGCAUUGAGGAUCUGAAAAAGAUUGACGACCCUCUCGAUUUCCCAAUCAUUGAAAGCUUUCCUGAAUAUGAGAUUCCAACCUUGACGGCUCCAUAGCUGUGAGAUUGUGACCUUGUUUUGAGUGGUGAGCAUAAACAGGUCUGGGAAGAGUGAUUGCAGGCUUUCAUCCCCAAUACAAUGUUCAUUCCAAAAAUCAAUUUUCCUACCAUUUCCCACCUCUAGUGAGAUGUUGCCUUUGAAUUAGGCCAUAAUCUUCUAAUAGUCUUCCACACACUGCAUCCAAAAGUUCCAAGAGCCUCCUCAGUAAUCCAAUGGCUUUGUAGUCGAUACUUCAUUGUGAUGACUCUUUUCCAGUGCGACUGAUCUUCAAUGCAGAAUCUUCACAACUAUUUUUGAAGGAGACAAUUGGUUGGAUGAUUGAGCUUUUUUAUUCCCAACCCCUCCCUUGUUUCCUGCUAAGAGUAAGAGUAUCCCACUUAACUAGGUGGUAACUUUUGUGCUCUUUAUUUCCAUUCCAUAGGAAAGACCUCCUGAGUUGAUUGAUCUUUAUGACAAUGUCCUUUGGAAUAGGGAAUAGUUGAUUCCCAAAUCUGGACAAGUGCUUCAAAUCUAUUUUCCAACUCCAUCUUCAUAAAUUCCAAAAUAGUGCUAUAUUCUCUCCUUUGCAAAAAGUAUAACCGAACAUAACCAUCUUCAACUCUUAACUUUAUAAAUUCCAAAUAAAGUGAAAAAUAUUUGAACCAAUGGCCAAAUGCCUAUUAAAUUAUAUUAAUUGAAAACUAAUCCAUGAAUCAUAGUAUUUAAGUGGAGAAAGAUAAAACAAUGGAUCUAGGUUUAUAUUGGAUAAUGGGGAGUUCUGGAUCAUCCCAAAGUUCUGGGGUUUUGUCCUAUGCCACUGUUCUUGAAGAGUUCCAGACAAUGAGCCGAAACUAGAAAUAUGAGAAAUUGUGUGCUGCAGCAGUCUAAAGACAAAAUCGAAUCUAUGAAGGCAAGACAGACAAGGACUUCGUUUCAGAAGGUGAUGAACAAUGUAUUGAGGCGAUCGAUGCACUCAAUUUUGGGUUUGCUCUCCAUAUUUCAGGGAUGAGAAAGCAAGCUUUGACCAGAAGAUUGUGUUUACACAAAGGUGAAAAGUGAAAACAAGCACUGUUCUCUUCACACAUUAAUGAUUGAUGCAGAUGGAGAUCUCUGCCAAAAAUGAUGGAAGGUUUCUGGUAGAGAUGAGGCCCUUUAGUUGCAUUUACUGGGCAGGGAGACUUCUGUUUUGUUAAGUGGUUGUGCAUCUAUAAGGGCUUUGGAUUUUCUACACUCUUUUGCCUAAUCAGGUGAUGGGUGAUGAGAAGAGAACAUUUUAGGUUCACAUAUGGGAAGACAUUUAGUCAAUGUCAGCAUCAGAAAGGGCUCUGUUAUAUUUGAAGUGGUUUUAGAUAUUGGAGCUGAUGGUGGGAAUGUCAGUUUGGGGAGCAAGAAGACCAUGGACGACAGCUGAAUAUGUGACCAUAAAAUUUAUUAUUGAGGUUAGUCUUGAAGGCUCUCAAUCAGAUACCUCAAUCUCCACCAUUCACUUUGGUGGAAGAAGGCACAACUUCAAGGAUGUGAUGGACGGGCUUGAGUUUCACCAUGUGCAAAAAGCUUGUCCAGAUUGCAGGUUCUCUAACGAACCAGCGCCAUAAGCUGUAGGAAGAAAACAACAGAUUAAGUCUUGCAGCGUUCCAUUACUAGAUCCAUAACAGGGGACUGUAACACUGCCUAGCAAAGUAAGGCACUUUUUUGUUUGUAGUUGUUCCUUUAAUUUUUGUCUGCUGGAUGCUGUAGUUAACAAUGGUGUAGAGUUACUCCGGCACUUGUGUUGAUAUUUCUAUUGUAAUGCCAAUAUAUUUCUAUUCUCUUCGGAAGUAGCUUCAGUAAUCAGUUUACUGCUUCUAUCUCCAUGCUCCUUGAGUAAUUUUAUUAUUAGUAAUCAUAGUUUUUGUUAAUAUUGCUUAGUUCUUUUCUUCCAUUCUAAUAAGUUCGUCUUUUCAUUUUUUAAGAGAUGAAAUGGGGCUAUCAUGGCCUCAUUUUCGCACUAUGUGAUCAUUGCAAAACAAAGUUUAAUUGCAAUUCGAACUCCUGUCUAUGUCAAAAGUAGUCAUUGCAAGGUGACAACAAAAUAUCUUUUUCAGUUUAGUUCUGUCCCUUGUUACAGAAUGUCACAUUGUUAUUUUCAACAUCUGUAUAACUGAUCUCUGUCUGGAAUGAUCUGAAAUGCUAAGCACCAAUUUACCACAGUAGUCUAGUUUCAAAAUUUAGCUCAAUACUCUCAUUAGAGUGUACUCUUUUUUUAAAUAUUCAUGUUUUGUUUUAGAUGUGCUAGGUUGCUUUGAUUUUGGAUCUCUCAUUUAUUUGUGAUGAUGUGUCCAUGUUUGAUGUUGCUGGUUUUUGAUGUUCCUUUUUCAUAUUCCUAUAUAAAAAAUGUGGAUAUUAAUUUUUCACGAGAAUCAUCACUUUUUUCGGAAUAAUUUCAUUUUUUUCAAAACCAAUGUUUGGUUAUAAAUUUCCAAAUCCAACUUAGAGUUGGAUUCCAAAUUUGGAAUAGUGAUCCAAACCUAUUUUCCAACUCUUGUCUUCAUAAAUUUCACAAAAAAAGUGCUCUAAUAUGUCCUUUGUAAAAAGUAUAACCAAACAUAACUCCAUCUUCGUAAAUUGCAAUAAAGUGAAAAAUCUUCGGGAUCUAUGACCAAACCCCUACGAUAUUACAAUGCAAAAGUAAUCCAUGAAUCAUAGUCAUAGAGAUAAAGAUUUCAAUAACAUCAAUCGCAAGUUUGAGCUCUGUACCAAGAAAAUUAUGCCUACGAUUAGGAUUGGUUCUUUCAAGUAAUGAUGAUUGAGUCUUGAGCUAUGACGAGAUGGAGAUAGUGGAAGUAGUUUCUGAUCAGGUGGCUGUGACUUUGUCCCAUGCAACUGUUCUUGAUGAGUCUCAGUCAAUGAGGGAGAAAAGUAGAAUUGAGAAAUUGUGUGCUGCAGCAGGCUAAAGACUAGAUAGAAUGCUAUGAAGGCAAGCCAGACAAGGACUUCGUUUCAGAAGCAAUGGAAUGAGGCAGACGGUGCACUCAAUUUUGUGUUUGCUCUCCAUAUUUCAAGAUGAGAAAGCAAGCUUUUACCAGAAGUUUUUUGUAAACACAAUGGUGAAAACACACUUUUCUCUCCAUAUUGACAGAUGUUGUGAUAGCAAUAUCUUCCAAAGAUAAGGCCUUCGGAUUUUCUACAGUUUUUCUUACUUCUUUGCCUAAUCAGGUGAUGGGCGAUGAGAAGAGAACAUUUUAUGUUUGUUACAUAUGGUAGGACAUUUGUUAAAUGUCAGCAUUGGAAAGGGCUCUGUUAUAUUUGGAGUGGUUUUAGAGACUGGAGCUGAUUGUGGGAAUGACAGUUUGGGUUACAAGAAAAUGAUUCACAACAGAUGAAUAUGUGGCCAUAUAAUUAUAUAUUGAGGUUAGUUUUGAAGGCUUUUAAUCAGAUAGCUCAAUCUCCACCAUUCAUUUGUGUGGAAGAAGGCGUAACUUUCAGGGAGGUGAUGAAGGGCUGGAGUUUUAGCAUUUGCAAAAAGAUUGUCCAGGUUAGAAUACAUGCUGUUGUUUUCCCGAUUGACCUUGUCAUUAUGUUCUUAUUUAAAUUGGUUUAUAUAGCUAACAAGUAUCUGUUGAUGACUGUUGUCUUGAUCAUGUAUAAGUACUGUUCAUGGCUUGUGUGAUAUACAUACAUGCUGCCAUGUAGGUCUGAAAUUCAAUUUGUUUGGAUUUUCGGAUACCGAUUGAUUUUGGAUUUAACUUCUAAAAUAUUCAGAUUUUAGAUUUCUGACUUUGGAUUUUCGGAUCUGAAAAUCUAGUUUUUUAAUACCUUAUAUUUAUCCUUGCAUAUUAGACAAGCCCAUGUACCCAAUAUAAAGUCCAGUGCCCUACUAAAUCAGUCAUUGUACCUUAUUAUGCUAAUGGAUAGUGCAAACUGAGUUUUAUUCACCGUGACUGUGCUUUUUAUUCUUAUUUGACGAGUUGUGGGUUUUGGCACUGGGUCCUUAUGGAAGCAUGUUAAUUGAUAUUUAAAUCACAUAGAACAUAUAAGUAUUGAGUAAUGUUGAAUUGAAUAUGAACUGUUAGUAGUAUGAUCUAUCUAUACAUGAUUUUACUUUGUUAAGAUUCGAAAUUUCUUUUAUAGUGGUUUCAUUGUUUGAAUGAAUAUUCUAUUUGGAUGAUUGUCGUGUGAAUGAGAAAUCAUUAAAGACAAUGUGACAUGAAUACUUUACUAGGAUGUUUAUUUUUGCAAAAAGAAGCUUCACUUACAAUCUCAACACCAAAAUCUGCAAUAAUCAAACGGUGUAAUCUGAAACUGGACUUGCGCAAACUGAUCAAUCAAACUUAGUUGGUAUGAUCACCUACCCAGUAUCUUACCCCCCCCCCCCCCACAACCACAACCACCACCAAAAAAAAAAAAAAAGAAGAGGAAGAGGAACUUGAUAUAAAUGAAAAUUUGACUUCCCUCUUUUCUUAUCGACCAUUACUUCGUUGAAAGAUCUCAGAAUAAAUGCAGCUUGAGGACUUCUUUUUUUUUCAAGCAGGAGAUGGUUCUUUAAUUACUGUUCAUCUGUAAAUCUUUAGGUAAAGAAGUCUCUAGGAUGCAAUAUGAGGUUUUAAAAAAGAAGAAAUAUCAGGAAAAGACGAUUCCAAAAAAAAAGAAAUAUCAGGAAAAGAAUAAAAAAAUACUAAAGGGAUGAAAAGCAAGCAAGAAAGCUUAUGAACUAAAAUUGAAAGAUUGAUAUAUUUCACUGCAGUCAAAGGAUACAAUUUUUAAUAAAAGUACUCACGUCUAAAAUAUAAAUAAGCAAAAGAUGUGCUGAAAAUACCAAAUUCAUGAAGUCUAGAAAAUACUCUUUACUCAAAAUUCAAAUA
Solanum lycopersicum (tomato) is the source of this 7894-nucleotide non-coding RNA. NCBI's taxonomy places the organism in Eukaryota, Viridiplantae, Streptophyta, Magnoliopsida, Solanales, Solanaceae. The record is from RefSeq and is a predicted model, not a curated record.